AGGCUUUAUAGUCAAUAAUGACAUUAGACUGCAAUUCUAAAGGAGUAAUAUAAUUUACUAAGGCUUA
This 67-nucleotide transfer RNA is filed under the name Meromyza saltatrix. RNAcentral's name for it is "tRNA-Cys". Lineage: Eukaryota; Metazoa; Arthropoda; Insecta; Diptera; Chloropidae. The record is from RNAcentral.